CACGGGGGGAGCAAGCGUUGUUCGGAAUCACUGGGCGUAAAGGGCGCGUAGGCGGCCUUCUAAGUCGGACGUGAAAUCGCUCGGCUUAACCGAGGAACUGCGUCCGAUACUGAAAGGCUUGAAUCCGGGAGAGGGAUGUGGAAUUCCAGGUGUAGCGGUGAAAUGCGUAGAUAUCUGGAGGAACACCGGUGGCGAAGGCGGCAUCCUGGACCGGCAUUGACGCUGAGGCGCGAAAGCUAGGGGAGCAAACGGG
RNAcentral lists this ribosomal RNA (253 nucleotides) under uncultured bacterium. Its description in RNAcentral is "partial 16S ribosomal RNA". It matches the Rfam family "Bacterial small subunit ribosomal RNA", at positions 524 to 776 of the family's 1533-position model. The record is from RNAcentral.